Vicia faba (fava bean) is the source of this 294-nucleotide non-coding RNA. NCBI's taxonomy places the organism in Eukaryota, Viridiplantae, Streptophyta, Magnoliopsida, Fabales, Fabaceae. The record is from the annotation of a GenBank genome assembly.
AUGGAGGCUUUCUACUCUCCACCUCUUAUGCUUUGGUUCAAGGGGAAUUCAGAUGGUGCUUCUGUUAGCACGCCUUCAAGGGUGGGUUGUGGGGAGAUCUUUAUGGAUCAUCAGUCCAAGCAUAUUGGCAAUUUUGCUUGUUUUCUUAAAAUUGAAAAUGCUUUUUUUUCUGAGCCCAUGAGGGCUAUUUUUGUUAUGGAGUAUACUCUCUCAAGUAAUUGGUCUAAUUUUUUGUUAAAGUCUGAUUUCAAGUUGAUGGUUUUGGCUUUCUCUAAGCAUUCCAUGGUCCUCUGA